RNAcentral lists this ribosomal RNA (318 nucleotides) under uncultured eukaryote. RNAcentral's name for it is "partial 18S ribosomal RNA". It matches the Rfam family "Eukaryotic small subunit ribosomal RNA", at positions 1470 to 1796 of the family's 1831-position model. The record is from RNAcentral.
CCCUUAGAUGUCCUGGGCCGCACGCGUGCUACACUGACGCAUACAGCUAGUACUCCCGGCUCCGCAAUGGCAGCUGGUAAUCAUCAAUAUGCGUCGUGAUGGGGAUAGAUCUCUGGAAUUUUUGAUCUUGAACGAGGAAUGCCUAGUAAGCGCAGGUCAUCAGCCUGCGUUGAUUAAGUCCCUGCCCUUUGUACACACCGCCCGUCGCUCCUACCGAUUUCGAGUGGUCCGGUGAACCUUUCGGACCGGGAGCAGCCUCGUGCUGCGCCUGGAAAGUCAAGUAAACCACAUCACUUAGAGGAAGGAGAAGUCGUAACA